RNAcentral lists this ribosomal RNA (539 nucleotides) under uncultured bacterium. RNAcentral's name for it is "bacterial SSU rRNA". It matches the Rfam family "Bacterial small subunit ribosomal RNA", at positions 777 to 1320 of the family's 1533-position model. The record is from RNAcentral.
AAUAGAUACCCCGGUAGUCCACCCGUAACGUUGGACUAGUUGUGGGUCCAUUCCACGGAUUCCGUGACGCAGCUAACGCAUUAAGUUCCCCGCCUGGGGGAGUACGGCCGCAAGGCUAAAACUCAAAGGAAUUGACGGGGACCCGCACAAGCGGCGGAGCAUGCGGAUUAAUUCGAUGCAACGCGAAGAACCUUACCAAGGCUUGACAUAUAGAGGAAACGGCUGGAAACAGUCGCCCCGCAAGGUCUCUAUACAGGUGGUGCAUGGUUGUCGUCAGCUCGUGUCGUGAGAUGUUGGGUUAAGUCCCGCAACGAGCGCAACCCUCGUUCUAUGUUGCCAGCACGUAAUGGUGGGAACUCAUGGGAUACUGCCGGGGUCAACUCGGAGGAAGGUGGGGAUGACGUCAAAUCAUCAUGCCCCUUAUGUCUUGGGCUUCACGCAUGCUACAAUGGCCGGUACAAAGGGCUGCAAUACCGUAAGGUGGAGCGAAUCCCAAAACGCCGGUCCCAGUUCGGAUUGAGGUCUGCAGCUCGACCUCA